This 459-nucleotide ribosomal RNA is filed under the name uncultured Sphingobacteriales bacterium. RNAcentral describes it as "bacterial SSU rRNA". It matches the Rfam family "Bacterial small subunit ribosomal RNA", at positions 923 to 1382 of the family's 1533-position model. The record is from RNAcentral. Lineage: Bacteria; Pseudomonadati; Bacteroidota; Sphingobacteriia; Sphingobacteriales.
GCACAAGCGGAGGAGCAUGUGGUUUAAUUCGAUGAUACGCGAGGAACCCUACCUGGGCUCGAACGUAAGAUGACUGUAGGUGAAAGCUUACAUCUCUUCGGAGCAAUAUACAAGGUGCUGCAUGGUUGUCGUCAGCUCGUGCCGUGAGGUGUCGGGUUAAGUCCCAUAACGAGCGCAACCCCUAUCAUUAGUUGCCAUCAGGUCAAGCUGGGGACUCUAAUGAAACUGCCUACGCAAGUAGUGAGGAAGGUGGGGAUGACGUCAAAUCAGCACGGCCCUUACGUCCAGGGCUACACACGUGCUACAAUGGCCGGUACAAAGGGCAGCUACCUGGUGACAGGAUGCUAAUCUCAAAAGCCGGUCUCAGUUCGGAUCGGAGUCUGCAACCCGACUCCGUGAAGCUGGAAUCGCUAGUAAUCGCGCAUCAGCCAUGGCGCGGUGAAUACGUUCCCGGGCCUU